RNAcentral lists this ribosomal RNA (406 nucleotides) under uncultured bacterium. RNAcentral's name for it is "partial 16S ribosomal RNA". It matches the Rfam family "Bacterial small subunit ribosomal RNA", at positions 29 to 526 of the family's 1533-position model. The record is from RNAcentral.
AUUGAACGCUGGCGGCAGGCCUAACACAUGCAAGUCGAGCGAGAGGCGGACGGGUGAGUAAUGUGUGGGAAACUGCCCGAUGGAGGGGGAGAACAACUGGAAACGGUAGCUAAUAUCGCAUACCAUAAGAGGUGCCCAGAUGGGAUUAGCGAGUGGGUGGGGUAAUGGCUCACCUAGGCGACGAUCCCUAGCUGGUCUGAGAGGAUGACCAGCCACACUGGAACUGAGACACGGUCCAGACUCCUACGGGAGGCAGCAGUGGGGAAUAUUGCACAAUGGGCGCAAGCCUGAUGCAGCCAUGCCGCGUGUAUGAAGAAGGCCUUCGGGUUGUAAAGCACUUUCAGCGGGGAGGCGUUACCCGCAGAAGAAGCACCGGCUAACUCCGUGCCAGCAGCCGCGGUAAUUC